GCGUAACCGAUGGCAGCACAAACACCGUGACUGAGGAUCAGAGCCGUCAUGAGUGAAGCGGAGUCCCAUAUUAGAAAAAUGCCGAAUCCCAGAUCUUUUACCGAAGUGCCAGAGCAAAUAAGCAAACUGAAUCAUGCAACAUGAUUCAGUUGCAACAUGAUUCAUGCAACAUUUUUUUACUUGUAACAUGAUUCAUGUAACAGUAUUACUCUGCACUAAAAUGUGACAUUCCUGUUUCUUAAAUUGCUUGUGAUGAGAAUUGAGAAUGCUUAUUACUUUAAUAGUGAAGCCAGUG
RNAcentral lists this long non-coding RNA (295 nucleotides) under Fragaria vesca (wild strawberry). Its description in RNAcentral is "long non-coding RNA (FVES_LNC002032)". Lineage: Eukaryota; Viridiplantae; Streptophyta; Magnoliopsida; Rosales; Rosaceae. The record is from RNAcentral.